Gadus chalcogrammus (walleye pollock) is the source of this 4309-nucleotide long non-coding RNA. RefSeq lists it as uncharacterized. The transcript is spliced from 6 exons. Lineage: Eukaryota; Metazoa; Chordata; Actinopteri; Gadiformes; Gadidae. The record is from RefSeq and is a predicted model, not a curated record.
GCCUGCGUCUGCGUGCCUGCGUGUGUGUGCGUACCUGCGUGUGUGUGCGUACCUGCGUGUGUGUACCUGCGUUUUUUUUUGUGUGCGUCUGCGUGCCUACGUCUGCGUGCCUGCGUAUGCGUACCUGCGUGUGCGUACCUGCGUGUGUGUACCUGCAGUUUUUUUUGUGUGCGUCUGCGUGCCUGCGUGUGUGUGCUUACCUGCGUGUGCGUACCUGCGUGUGUGUACCUGCGUGUACAUGCAUUUGGGUAGAAAAUAAUUGAGAGUCUGCCUGUCUGUCUAUGUGUGUGUGUGUGCACCUGCAUUACAUCCGUUUUUCAGACCAAAUGUUGAAUAAAAUGUCAAAUUUGAAGGCACGAGUCCUCCACUCACCGUGAAACUGCUCUUAGGUCUAGUGAGACGCGUGUUCCACGGGCUGGUACAUCUUUCUCUAGUCCUAAGACAGAUAGGCAAUGUUUUUUCUGUCAGAGGACUGACCAUUUAGUUGCCGACUGCAAUGCGUGGAAACGUAGGCAGCAGACGGCAACUUCAAAUUCUGAUGGUCCUGAUUCUGUGUAGUGUGCUUUAGCGGGGAUCGUGCUUAAUGGAGCAAACUUAGUUUGCACUUAUGGGAGGGGGUGUUACGUGUGUGUGUUUUUCCUCUGCUGUUUUGUGUGCUGUUCCAGGUACCACCCUCCCCAUCGGACUGAUCAGACACACCUGCAGCCCCUCAGCAAUCACGUGGAUUGCUAUAAAGCUGCAGGGAUGAAAGCAGACGUGGCCAGUGGGCCAGAUAGGCGAACAGAGUGUGGUCGCUGUCGGUCGCGAGUCGGAGCUACGUGGGCUCUUCGUCGUGGCAUUGCUCCCUCAGUGGAGGGAUAGUGUUGUUGGCAUUGCUCCCUCAGUGGAGGGAUAGUGUUGUUGGUUGCUCCCUCAGUGGAGGGAUAGUGUUAUUGGUUAUUUUCUGUGUUCAAAUAAGACUCAUUUAUGCAAUAAAUGGUAUAUUGGUUGAAACCCUGCUACUCUCGUCUGUCCUUUAAACACCCGGUUUUAUAUUAAUUCUUGCCCCCCCCUUCCCCCUGGACACCAACGGGGUGGGUCGUAGCAGUUAUCCAAACCUCAUAUGUUGCUGUGAAUUUUACUGAUAACUUAUGCAUUGAUCUGUAGGUAUUCAAAGCCAUGCACCUGAAAUCAAUUGGAUAUACCACAUUCAGAAGGCAUGCACAGACUUAUUUGGAGCCAGCAGUGAUCCACAAAUGGCAUCAGUUUCAGGAAGAAGAAUUGCAGUUUCUGAGCCAGAGAAAGGUUAAAAUUGGCGGAGAUAUGAGGGCAGACUCACCAGGGAAACUUCCUCAAUUAAUUUCAAUACAGUCGGUAUUACUACUAUGAAGUUCCACACAAAAUAGCACGCUCAUAAACAUGUUCAAAAGCAGUGUGCUCAUGACAUCAUUUCGAUAUUUGCAGUUCAUUGCGCAAAGUAUGGCAGCUAUUCCUUGAUGAACCUGGAGAACAACAACAUUAUUGACGUUCAACUUGUCCAGAGCAAUGAGGUUGGAGGUAGUCACAAUAUGGAGAAGGAGGGUCUGAAAAGAAGCCUUGAACUUCUGGAGUCGAAGGGUGUGGCAGUGGACUACAUUGUCACUGACCGCCAUCCCCAGUCUGGUUUCUUCGGGAUCGCAAUCUGAAGCACAUAACGUCUGGCACCUUGCAAAGGGUCUGUCUAAGAAAUUGGACAAGGUGUCGAAAGAGAAGGACUGUGACAUUGUUAUGAGGUGGCGACGUGGCAUCAGCAACCAUGUCUACUGGGCAGUGGGCAGCAACAUCAUCAUCCACCGUGGCUGAAAAGGUGGCUAAAUGGACCUCAUUAAUUAACCACAUUCAGAACAUACACAGCCACGACAACCCAGCUUUCCCCAAAUGCCUCCACCCUGUUCGCCGAACAAGAGAUCGUAAAAAGUGGUUUCAGCCAGGCACCAAAGCCCUCUAUAAAGUGGAAAAAAUCCUUACAAAAAAGAGGGUCCUGACUGACGUGGAAAAGCUGAGCUCAAAGUACCAGACCUCAACACUGGAAGCCUUCCAGUGUUAUUUUGUGUUUUACACCAAAAAAUAUGGUUUUCCCUUUUAUUGGGAUGUUGUGCAGACUGUACCUGGCAGCCAUGCAUUUUAAUGAGAAUGCUGGCUGUUCCCAAGCGAAGACAAACUCAGGAAGACUGAGGUACAAACUCAGUUUCCCAAAAGCAAAAAAAGGAGCGGCUACGGUGAAAGCAGUAAAAACACAACCAAGUUGCUAUACCCUCAGCCUGAUGCAUCUCCUCUUUGAAGAGGUAGUCCCUAACCCUACUUGGAGGAAAGUCAGAAGAUUCCUGUGCCCAGUUCCCCAUCGUCCCAACACGAACGUCCACCCUUAGAAGACGCUAUUGCGGACUAUGUAUCUCGCUUUAGAGUGGAGGAGGUUUAAAUCACACAUAUUGGCCUUCCGCUUCAGGGAACUCCCUGCGUAUGUGUUGGACCACACAAGAGGGGAUGACGACACGUAUCUUCCUGCCAAGAUAUCCCCAGCACCAGCUGACAAAUGACCUGUAGGCCAAGUACCUGCAACGGCUGUCAAAAAGCGGAGGACAUUGUUGUUUAUGUAUAUAUGGCCAAGGCUGAACUGUAUAUAGUGUGUGAGUUAUGUUUUGUCACGUGUAAAUAGAAAAGAAAUGAUCAUUAUUUGUAUUGUUAUUAUAUGUAGGUACAGCUCCAUCACUUUGACUUUCACUAUACAAAAUAGUGUAUGAGCUUGGUAGACAUGUUUGAAUAUGCUGAUGUGCCGUAGUGUAGACAUUUUUUCAUCUCACUUACUCAUUGCCUCUAACUUGCGGGUUCCCAUAAUCACGUUGAUAAAUGUUCAGGGCAUUUUGCUGGGAAUAUCUAUUGAGACAAACUGGAUCUAGUCCUUGGUGGAAGGUCAUGCAUAAUACUGGUGGAUCCUCGUCUUCCAUUAUUCUUACAACCUGUGCAAUCAGAUAUGUUUGAUUAAUAUAAUCUGAUUUUACUGACAGUGUAUAACCAAAAUGAAAUCCGUAUCACCCAUCGUUGCACCGUCCUACCGUUGAUGUCUCCCUACAGCUUACAUUCUCCACCUCUAUCUGCAUUGUAGAGCAAUUCCCACAGGUACACCUGAAGCAAAAGGUAGGCAAUAUGUUUGGCAGCCAUCAAUAAUGAAACACAAAUUAGGCUAUAGGCCUACAUAUUAUAAAAAAAAUCAGUCUGAUUAUAUGAAAAUUAAAAUGCUGUAGGUCUUUGCAAAUGACUAAAUCGGCCUACAACACAUCUUUGAAUGCCAACAUAAAAAAGAAUUAUGACUAUCCUAAGCCUAGGCCUAUUUGAAUAACCUGGUUGCCCUAUAUGUCAGUUAAGUUAGCUCACAUUACCAUUCUGAAACGUCCAUCAUUGUACGUGUUUGUGGUUGUUCUUGGUCUUCUCCUUCCGUCUCAUCUUCCGACUCUGGAUCAAACACGUAGGGCAAAAUUCCUGCCAUGGUUUUAGGCUUGCUGUGCCUCGGUAAGCAUAUGGACAGCUGCUUUCUCUCCCGAUCAGAGCAAAGCGGAAUUUAAAUAUUGAAUAUUCAUGAAAACAGCGGUCCAAUCAGAGCAACGCUCAUUAAUAGAUGGAUAUUCAUGAGAAGAGCAUUCGUCUUUUCUACCAGGCUUUUCAGACAUGCUAGAAUAGUUUGUAAUAAGCUAUCCAAGGCAUUUCCAACACAAACAAGGUUACAAACUCGAUCAAAGGACAUCAAGGAUUAUAAAAAAAUGAAUGAAAUGGGUGUGGCAUGCCGGGAUCUUUAAAUAAAACGCAUCCAGCACGGAAUGUCCACUGGUAACGCCACUGAGGCUACAGUAGGAUAAUGUGCUCUUAGCACCCUACGAGUACCCCUGGAGUCCUCAUAAGCUAUAGCGUUUUCACAACGCUCGUCACCAACAAUGCUUUCGGGAAACGGUGUGGAAACUGUACGAUGCUCGUACGACACACUUCACGAACCACUUAGGCUAACGAUGCUUUCGGGAAACGGGGCCCAGGUCUGCUGUGCUUCCUUUGGAUACAGGUUUUUCUUUUUAUUUACUAUCCAUGUUAAAAAGAAGAAGGAAUAAUGCCUCGCAUUGUACUACAUUUUGUUUUAAAAUAUUUUAGGAUUGUAUUCAUACAUUGGACGGACAUCUUGAUUUAAGUUUUUAUUUUAUGUGGACACAAGCUAUUUCUAUUUUAUUUACUAUCCAUGUUUAAAAGAAGAAGGAAUAAUGCCUAAUUUUGCACUUUAUACUGUUUAAUUUUUUUUAUAAUUUAUACA